AUUGAACGCUGGCGGCAGGCCUAACACAUGCAGGUCGAGCGGAUGAAGGGAGCUUGCUCCUGGAUUCAGCGGCGGACGGGUGAGUAAUGCCUAGGAAUCUGCCUGGUAGUGGGGGAUAACGUCCGGAAACGGGCGCUAAUACCGCCUACGUCCUGCGGGAGCAAGUGGGGGAUCUUCGGACCUCACGCUAUCAGAGGAGCCUAGGUCGGGCUAGCUAGCUGGUGGGGUAAAGGCCUCCUAAGCCGAGCAUCCGUAAAUGGUCUGAGAGGAAGAGCACUCGCACUGGAACGGGGACACGGUCAAGACUACUGCGGUAGGCAGCAGUGGGGAAUAUUGGGCAAUGGGCGAAAGCCUGAUCCAGCCGUGCCGAGUGUGUGAAGAAGGUCUUCGGAGUGGAAAGCCCGUUAAGGUGGUAGGAACCGCAUUAGGUUAAUACCUUGCGGUAGUGACGGUACCGGCUGAAUAAGCACCGGCUAACUUCGUG
Molecule: ribosomal RNA, 484 nt
Filed under: uncultured bacterium
Lineage: Bacteria
Description: partial 16S ribosomal RNA
Rfam family: Bacterial small subunit ribosomal RNA
Source: RNAcentral